AAUGACUGAUCUGCAUAUUGCCCUGUACAGGCCACUGUGAGGUUGUGAUCUGAUAGCGUAGGAAUGAGCUCAAAACUCUAGUUUCUUCACCCGCUGCUCGAUUCCUCACCCAGUCUCUGCCUUGGUGUUUCUUCACUUGUGUCUACCCUUCUCUUUCCCCCUCAUGGUUUUGAAUAUUUGAAUACUGAAAGUGGAGUUGUAUGUCUGGCUCUG
RNAcentral lists this unclassified non-coding RNA (213 nucleotides) under Hevea brasiliensis (rubber tree). The record is from RNAcentral. Lineage: Eukaryota; Viridiplantae; Streptophyta; Magnoliopsida; Malpighiales; Euphorbiaceae.